AUCCUGCUCGAAGAUGGGGGGACCAUCCUCCAAGGCUAAAUACUCGUGAUCGACCGAUAGCGUACCAGUACUGUGAAGGAAAGGUUAAAAGAACCCCGGGAGGGGAGUGAAAUAGAUCCUGAAACCGCAUACAUACAAACAGUAGGAGCCUCGUUAAGGGGUGACUGCGUACCUUUUGCAUAAUGGGUCAGCGACUUACGUUUAAUGGCGAGCUUAACCGUAUAGGGGAGGCGCAGCGAAAGCGAGUUCGAACAGAGCGUUCAGUCGUUAGGCGUAGACCCGAAACCAGAUGAUCUAUCCAUGGCCAGGUUGAAGGUGUGGUAACACACACUGGAGGACCGAACCGACUAGUGUUGCAAAAUUAGCGGAUGAGCUGUGGAUAGGGGUGAAAGGCUAAACAAAUCUGGAGAUAGCUGGUUCUCCCCGAAAACUAUUGAGGUAGUGCCUCGUGUAUGACUCCAGGGGGUAGAGCACUGUUAUGGCUAGGGGGACAUGGCGUCUUACCAAACCAUGGCAAACUCCGAAUACUUGGAAGUUUGAGCACGGGAGACAGAGCACCGGGUGCUAACGUCCGGACUCAAGAGGGAAACAACCCAGACCGCCGGCUAAGGUCCCUAAUAUUGACUAAGUGGAAAACGAAGUGGAAAGGCUAAGACAGUCAGGAAGUUGGCUUAGAAGCAGCCAUCCUUCAAAGAAAGCGUAAUAGCUCACUGAUCGAGUCUUUCUGCGCGGAAGAUGUAACGGGGCUAAGUCAAUAACCGAAGCCGCGGAUUCACACUUGUGUGUGAGUGGUAGGGGAGCGUUCUGUAAGCCUGCGAAGGUGACUCGUAAGGGUUGCUGGAGGUAUCAGAAGUGCGAAUGCUGACAUGAGUAACGUUAAAGCGGGUGAAAAGCCCGCUCGCCGUAAGCCCAAGGUUUCCUGCUCUACGUUCAUCGGAGCAGGGUGAGUCGGCCCCUAAGGUGAGGCUGAGAAGCGUAACUGAUGGGAACAAGGUUAAUAUUCCUUGACCACCGCUGAAUGCGAAGGGGGGACGGAGUAUUGAAGAUCAUCCGGGUGUUGGAUAUCCCGGUUUGCGAGCGUAGGAGGCUGACAGGCAAAUCCGUCAGCGAAUCUCCGAGGCAAAGCAUCGAGCUCUCUUUUGAGCGAAGUGAUUGGAUGUGCUUCCAGGAAAAGCCUCUAAGCUCCAGUUCAGCGGGACCGUACCGCAAACCGACACUGGUGGGCGAGCUGAAUAUGCUCAGGCGCUUGAGAGAACUCAGGAGAAGGAACUCGGCAAAUUGACACCGUAACUUCGGGAUAAGGUGUGCCUUUGUAGCGUGGAGGGAGAAACACCCCGAGCGCGAAGAGGUCUCAGAUAAUCGGUGGCUGCGACUGUUUAUUAAAAACACAGCACUCUGCAAAGACGAAAGUCGACGUAUAGGGUGUGAUGCCUGCCCGGUGCUGGAAGAUUAAUUGAUGGGGUGCAAGCUCCUGAUCGAAGUCCCAGUAAACGGCGGCCGUAACUAUAACGGUCCUAAGGUAGCGAAAUUCCUUGUCGGGCAAGUUCCGACCUGCACGAAUGGCAUAACGAUGGCCACACUGUCUCCUCCUGAGACUCAGUGAAGUUGAAGUGUUUGUGAUGAUGCAAUCUCCCCGCGGCUAGACGGAAAGACCCCAUGAACCUUUACUGUAGCUUUGCAUUGGACUUUGAACCGAUCUGUGUAGGAUAGGCGGGAGCCUGUGAAACCACAACGCCAGUUGUGGCGGAGGCGUCCUUGAAAUACCGCCCUGAUUUGUUUGAGGUUCUAACCUGGGACAGUCAUCCUGUCCGGGGACCGUGCAUGGUAGGCAGUUUGACUGGGGCGGUCUCCUCCUAAAGGGUAACGGAGGAGUGCGAAGGUACGCUAGGUACGGUCGGAAAUCGUGCUGAUAGUGCAAUGGCAAAAGCGUGCUUGACUGCGAGACCCACAAGUCGAGCAGAUACGAAAGUAGGUCAUAGUGAUCCGGUGGCUCUGUAUGGAAGGGCCAUCGCUCAACGGAUAAAAGGUACUCUGGGGAUAACAGGCUGAUACCGCCCAAGAGUUCAUAUCGACGGCGGUGUUUGGCAC
This 2088-nucleotide ribosomal RNA is filed under the name metagenome. RNAcentral's name for it is "bacterial LSU rRNA". It matches the Rfam family "Bacterial large subunit ribosomal RNA", at positions 431 to 2524 of the family's 2925-position model. The record is from RNAcentral.